Molecule: ribosomal RNA, 556 nt
Filed under: uncultured bacterium
Lineage: Bacteria
Description: bacterial SSU rRNA
Rfam family: Bacterial small subunit ribosomal RNA
Source: RNAcentral
CGACGAUGCGUAGGGGUUCUGAGAGGAAGGUCCCCCACACUGGUACUGAGACACGGACCAGACUCCUACGGGAGGCAGCAGUGAGGAAUAUUGGUCAAUGGGCGCGAGCCUGAACCAGCCAAGUCGCGUGAGGGAUGACGGUCCUACGGAUUGUAAACCUCUUUUGCCGGGGAGCAAGCGUGCGUUCGUGAACGCGCGUCGAGAGUACCCGGAGAAAAAGCAUCGGCUAACUCCGUGCCAGCAGCCGCGGUAAUACGGAGGAUGCGAGCGUUAUCCGGAUUUAUUGGGUUUAAAGGGUGCGUAGGCGGGAUGCCAAGUCAGCGGUAAAAAUGCGGUGCUCAACGCCGUCGAGCCGUUGAAACUGGCGUUCUUGAGUGGGCGAGAAGUAUGCGGAAUGCGUGGUGUAGCGGUGAAAUGCAUAGAUAUCACGCAGAACUCCGAUUGCGAAGGCAGCAUACCGGCGCCCUACUGACGCUGAGGCACGAAAGCGUGGGUAUCGAACAGGAUUAGAUACCCUGGUAGUCCACGCAGUAAACGAUGAAUGCUAACUGUCCGG